AUACAUGCAAGUCGAGCGCAGGAAACCAGAUGACCCCUUCGGGGUGAUUCUGGUGGAAUGAGCGGCGGACGGGUGAGUAACACGUGGGCAACCUGCCUGUAAGACUGGGAUAACUUCGGGAAACCGGAGCUAAUACCGGAUAGUAUUUCCUUUCUCCUGAUUGGAAAUGGAAAGACGGUUUCGGCUGUCACUUACAGAUGGGCCCGCGGUGCAUUACCUAGUUGGUGGGGUAAUGGCCCACCAAGGCGACGAUGCAUAGCCGACCUGAGAGGGUGAUCGGCCACACUGGGACUGAGACACGGCCCAGACUCCUACGGGAGGCAGCAGUAGGGAAUCUUCCGCAAUGGACGAAAGUCUGACGGAGCAACGCCGCGUGAGCGAUGAAGGCCUUCGGGUCGUAAAGCUCUGUUGUUAGGGAAGAACAAGUACGAGAGUAACUGCUCGUACCUUGACGGUACCUAACCAGAAAGCCCCGGCUAACUACGUGCCAGCAGCCGCGGUAAUACGUAGGGGGCAAGCGUUGUCCGGAAUUAUUGGGCGUAAAGGGCUCGUAGGCGGUUUCUUAAGUCUGAUGUGAAAGCCCACAGCUCAACUGUGGAGGGUCAUUGGAAACUGGGGAACUUGAGUGCAGAAGAGGAGAGUGGAAUUCCACGUGUAGCGGUGAAAUGCGUAGAUAUGUGGAGGAACACCAGUGGCGAAGGCGACUCUCUGGUCUGUAACUGACGCUGAGGAGCGAAAGCGGGCA
This 745-nucleotide ribosomal RNA is filed under the name Terribacillus saccharophilus. RNAcentral's name for it is "bacterial SSU rRNA". It matches the Rfam family "Bacterial small subunit ribosomal RNA", at positions 51 to 765 of the family's 1533-position model. The record is from RNAcentral. Lineage: Bacteria; Bacillati; Bacillota; Bacilli; Caryophanales; Bacillaceae.